This is a non-coding RNA of Oryza glaberrima (African rice), 206 nucleotides long. The record is from Rfam. NCBI's taxonomy places the organism in Eukaryota, Viridiplantae, Streptophyta, Magnoliopsida, Poales, Poaceae.
AAAGACCGAAUUCUACGGUUUUUGUGUUCAACGUUUGACUGUCCGUCUUAUAUAAAAAUUUUUUAUGAUUAGUAUUUUCAUUAUUGUUAGAUGAUAAAACAUGAAUAAUACUUUAUGCAUGACUUAUCUUUUAAAAUUUUUUUAUAAUUUUUUUAAUAAGACGAACGGUCAAAUGUUAGACACGGAAACCCAGGAAUUGAGUUUUU